Molecule: transfer RNA, 71 nt
Filed under: Capra hircus (goat)
Lineage: Eukaryota; Metazoa; Chordata; Mammalia; Artiodactyla; Bovidae
Also listed under: 1 other name
Rfam family: tRNA
About the family: Transfer RNA (tRNA) molecules are approximately 80 nucleotides in length. Their secondary structure includes four short double-helical elements and three loops (D, anti-codon, and T loops).
Source: Rfam by way of RNAcentral
UCCCUGGUAGCUCAGUGGUAAAGAAUCCGCCUACAAUGCUGGAGACGCAGGUUCAAUCCCUGCAUUGGGAA